GACGAACGCUGGCGGCGUGCUUAACACAUGCAAGUCGAACGGAAAGGCCCUGCUUGCAGGGUACUCGAGUGGCGAACGGGUGAGUAACACGUGGGUGAUCUGCCCUGCACUUCGGGAUAAGCCUGGGAAACUGGGUCUAAUACCGGAUAGGAGCCAUUUUUAGUGUGAUGGUUGGAAAGUUUUUUCGGUGUAGGAUGAGCUCGCGGCCUAUCAGCUUGUUGGUGGGGUAAUGGCCUACCAAGGCGGCGACGGGUAGCCGGCCUGAGAGGGUGGACGGCCACAUUGGGACUGAGAUGCGGCCGAGACUCCUACGGGAGGCAGAAGUGGGGAAUAUUGCACAAUGGGCGCAGGCCUGAUGCAGCGACGCCGCGUGGGGGAUGACGGCCUUCGGGUUGUAAACUCCUUUCGCUAGGGACGAAGCUUUUUGUGACGGUACCUAGAUAAGAAGCACCGGCUAACUACGUG
RNAcentral lists this ribosomal RNA (465 nucleotides) under uncultured bacterium. Its description in RNAcentral is "partial 16S ribosomal RNA". It matches the Rfam family "Bacterial small subunit ribosomal RNA", at positions 28 to 507 of the family's 1533-position model. The record is from RNAcentral.